UACAGUAACUGCAAACGAUUUGAGGUGGA
Molecule: small RNA, 29 nt
Filed under: Bombyx mori (domestic silkworm)
Lineage: Eukaryota; Metazoa; Arthropoda; Insecta; Lepidoptera; Bombycidae
Description: ovarian small RNA-2935
Source: RNAcentral